This 86-nucleotide transfer RNA is filed under the name Candidatus Burkholderia crenata. Its description in RNAcentral is "tRNA-Leu-TAA". It matches the Rfam family "tRNA". From Rfam's summary of the family: Transfer RNA (tRNA) molecules are approximately 80 nucleotides in length. Their secondary structure includes four short double-helical elements and three loops (D, anti-codon, and T loops). Lineage: Bacteria; Pseudomonadati; Pseudomonadota; Betaproteobacteria; Burkholderiales; Burkholderiaceae. RNAcentral also lists the same sequence under 1 other name. The record is from RNAcentral.
GGCGGGGUGAUGAAAAUUGGUAAACAUAGCGGACUUAAAAUCCGCCGCCUAACGGCUUGCCGGUUCAAGUCCGGUCCCCGCUACCA